AGAGUUUGAUCCUGGCUCAGGACGAACGCUGGCGGCGUGCCUAAUACAUGCAAGUCGAACGAACGGAUUGAGGAGCUUGCUCUUCAAGAAGUUAGUGGCGGACGGGUGAGUAACACGUGGGUAACCUGCCCUUCAGCGGGGGAUAACAUCCGGAAACGGGUGCUAAUACCGCAUAGUUUCUUUUUCCGCCUGGAAGAAGAAGGAAAGAUGGCCUUUGUGCUAUCACUGAGGGAUGGACCCGCGGCGUAUUAGUUAGUUGGUGGGGUAAUGGCCUACCAAGACGAUGAUACGUAGCCGACCUGAGAGGGUGAUCGGCCACACUGGGACUGAGACACGGCCCAGACUCCUACGGGAGGCAGCAGUAGGGAAUCUUCCACAAUGGGUGCAAACCUGAUGGAGCAAUGCCGCGUGAAUGAAGAAGGUCUUCGGAUCGUAAAGUUCUGUUAUUAGUGAAGAACAAAUCGAGGAGUAACUGUCUCGAUUUUGACGGUAACUAACCAGAAAGUCACGGCUAACUACGUGCCAGCAGCCGCGGUAAUACGUAGGUGACAAGCGUUGUCCGGAAUUAUUGGGCGUAAAGGGAGCGCAGGCGGUUGGAAUAGUCUGAUGUGAAAGCCCACGGCUUAACCGUGGGAAGGUCAUUGGGAAACUGUUCCAACUUAGAAUGCAAAAAGAGGGUAAGUGAAAAUUCCAUUGUGUAGGCGGUGAAAUGCCGUAAAUAAUUGGGAAGGAACACCCGGGGGCGAAAGGCAACUUUUCUGG
This 762-nucleotide ribosomal RNA is filed under the name uncultured bacterium. RNAcentral's name for it is "bacterial SSU rRNA". It matches the Rfam family "Bacterial small subunit ribosomal RNA", at positions 8 to 732 of the family's 1533-position model. The record is from RNAcentral.